GUAAGUCAUGUAUCGCAUCUAAUCAUAAGUUUCAACAACGGAUCUCUUGGCUCUCGCAUCGAUGAAGAACGCAGCGAAAUGCGAUAAGUAAUGUGAAUUGCAGAAUUCAGUGAAUCAUCGAAUCUUUGAACGCACCUUGCGCUCCUCGGUAUUCCUUGGAGCAUGCCUGUUUGAGUAUCGUGAAAUCUUCAAAGUAAAUCUUUUGAUCACUCAAUUGAUUCUAUUUUGGUAUUGGAGGUAUUAUUGCAGCUUCACACCUGCUCCUCUUUGUGCAUUAGCUGGAUUCUCAGUGUUAUGCUUGGUUCCACUUGGCGUGAUAAGUUAAUUUAAUCGCUGAGGAUACUCUCUAUAACCAAAGGGGGGGUGACCAAGGUAGAUACAGAUGAACCUGCUUCUAAUAGUCCAUUGAUUUGGACAAAAAUAAACUAUUUAUUAUGAUCUGAUCUCAAAUCAGGUAGGACUACCCGCUGAACUUAAGCAUAUCAAUAAGCGGAGGAAAAGAAACUAACAAGGAUUCCCCUAGUAACGGCGAGUGAAGCGGGAAGAGCUCAAAUUUAA
This 558-nucleotide ribosomal RNA is filed under the name uncultured fungus. RNAcentral describes it as "eukaryotic LSU rRNA". The stretch from base 27 to 180 matches the Rfam family "5.8S ribosomal RNA". The record is from RNAcentral. Lineage: Eukaryota; Fungi.